RNAcentral lists this non-coding RNA (759 nucleotides) under Episcapha opaca. Lineage: Eukaryota; Metazoa; Arthropoda; Insecta; Coleoptera; Erotylidae. The record is from RNAcentral.
AAAAUGUUUUAUUUUAGCUAAAAAUUAAGUUUAUUUUUUAUUAAAUAUGUAUAAUUUAAUUAAAUUUAGAUAGUUAAAAUUGCAGUGAUUCAUAUUAGUAAUAUUAAAGUAAAUUAGAUCUAGGAAAAAAGUUAAAUAUUAACAAUAUUUGUGCCAGCAGUUGCGGUUAUACAAAUGAUAUAACUUAAUUUUUUUAGUUUUAAUUAAUAUAGAAAUAUAAAAAUUUAUAAUUAAUUUUAUUAGGUGAAAUUUUAAAAUUUUUUAAAUUUUAUUAUUGUUUAUGAAGUUAGGAAAUUUAGAAUUAAACUAGGAUUAGAUACCCUAUUAUUAUAAAUGUAAUUUUAAAAAAUUAGAUAAUUAAUAGUUAAGUUCUUUAAAAUUAAAAAAUUUGGCGGUAUUUUAGUCUAUUUAGAGGAACCUGUCCUAUAAUUGAUAAUCCACGUUUAAAAUUACUUAUUUUAUUAGUUUACAUAUCGUCGUAGUUUGAAUAUUUUUAUAGAAUUAAAAUAUUCUAAAUUUUUUAAAAAAAAAUAAAUCAGAUCAAGGCGUAGCUUAUAAAUAAGAAGUGAUGGGUUACAUUAAAAUUAUUUGUUGGAUUAAUAAAUGAAAUUUUAUUAUAAAAAUGGAUUUAAAAGUAAUUUUAAUUAAUUAUUUAAAAUGAUUUAGCUCUAAAAUAUGUACAUAUUGCCCGUCGCUUUCAUUUUAAAAUGAAAUAAGUCGUAACAAAGUAGGUGUACUGGAAAGUGUACCUAGAAAGAA